GAUGAACGCUGGCGGCAUGCCUAAUACAUGCAAGUCGAGCGAACAGACGAGGAGCUUACUCCUCUGACGUUAGCGGCGGACGGGUGAGUAACACGUGGAUAACCUACCUAUAAGACUGGGAUAACUUCGGGAAACCGGAGCUAAUACCGGAUAACAUGUUGAACCGCAUGGUUCAACAGUGAAAGACGGUCUUGCUGUCACUUAUAGAUGGAUCCGCGUCGCAUUAGCUAGUUGGUAAGGUAACGGCUUACCAAGGCAACGAUGCGUAGCCGACCUGAGAGGGUGAUCGGCCACACUGGGACUGAGACACGGUCCAGACUCCUACGGGAGGCAGCAGUAGGGAAUCUUCCGCAAUGGGCGCAAGCCUGACGGAGCAACGCCGCGUGAGUGAAGAAGGUCUUCGGAUCGUAAAACUCUGUUAGUAGGGAAGAACAAAUGUGUAAGUAACUAUGCACGUCUUGACGGUACCUAAUCAGAAAGCCACGGCUAACUACGUG
This 497-nucleotide ribosomal RNA is filed under the name uncultured bacterium. RNAcentral's name for it is "partial 16S ribosomal RNA". It matches the Rfam family "Bacterial small subunit ribosomal RNA", at positions 28 to 507 of the family's 1533-position model. The record is from RNAcentral.